UGAACGCUAGCGGUAGGCUUAACACAUGCAAGUCGUGGGGUAACGAUGGUGUUCGCACCAGGCGACGACCGGCGCACGGGUGAGUAACACGUAUGCAACCUACCUUUAACUGGAGGAUAGCUCCGAGAAAUCGGAAUUAAUACUCCAUAAUAUCUAUUUAUCGCAUGAUUUUUAGAUUAAAGCUCCGGCGGUUAAAGAUGGGCAUGCGGGACAUUAGCUUGUUGGUGAGGUAACGGCUCACCAAGGCAACGAUGUCUAUGGGGUCUUAAAGGAUGGUCCCACACACUGGUACUGAGACACGGACCAGACUCCUACGGGAGGCAGCAGUGAGGAAUAUUGGGCAAUGGGCGAAAGCCUGACCCAGCCAUACCGCGUGCAGGAUGACGGCUCUAUGAGUUGUAAACUGCUUUUGUACAGGAAGAAAAAAAUCUACGUGUAGAUAACUGACGGUACUGUACGAAUAAGGAUCGGCUAACUCC
This 479-nucleotide ribosomal RNA is filed under the name uncultured bacterium. RNAcentral's name for it is "bacterial SSU rRNA". It matches the Rfam family "Bacterial small subunit ribosomal RNA", at positions 30 to 504 of the family's 1533-position model. The record is from RNAcentral.